UGUGUUUUGUCUCUUUAUGAUGAAUAUGAUAGAAAAAGCUAAGGAUUGAUAUUGAGUAUGUGGGAUAUGUGGUGUAGAUACUGAGCAGGACGGCACAUGUGGAGGAAGAGACAUACAAGCAGCUGCUGGAGAAGGCGGUGGAGGAAGGGUACGACGUCAGCAAGCUUCACAAGACCCCUCAGAGUGACACACCACCUGAGUCCAACGCUGCUCCUAACGACACCAAGGAUCAAAUGCUAAAAUAGACCACAAAGGGUCAAAAAAAUUUGAUAUAGACCUAUUGUUUCUUUAUUUUAAUAAUAAAUAAAAAUUAGGGAGAAAAGACAAUGAGACCUAAUAACUUAAACAUAUUUACUAAUCUAUGCCAUUGCAAUUCUACCCAGAUUCUGAUCCAGAUUCUGACCCGGAUCCAUACCCAAACCCGAUCUAACUCUAACCCUAGUCUUCUUCUUCCUCCUUUUUUCUUCUCCAUUAAUGUUCCUUCAUUUUAAAAAAAAAAUCAAAAAUUUUCUUUAACCAUCCUUUAAUUUUCUCUUUCUUAACCCAAAUCGAACAAUCCAUACUCAUAUUUAAUCAAUUAUAUCUUAUUUAGAAUCAAAUUUCAUAUUUUAUGAAUGAGAUUUAAAAUAAAGAAGAACGCGAAGUAUAACUAAUACAAAGAGUACAACUACAACUGGUACGGAUAGUACAACUCCAACUCAUACAACUAAUACAAAUCAAAUUGGUACAACUAGUACAGCUAAAACAAAUAUAACUAGUAUAAAUAUAUUGAGUAUAGCCAAUAUAGCUGAUACAAGAAAAACUUGUAUAACUAAUACAACUUUACAAUAAUUUGGUGAGUUUUUAUUUUUUGUUAUCAACAUAUAAAAAUGACAUAAAAAGGAUAAUUUAGAACCAAUAAAACAUGUUGGUCUAAUCUUUUCCCGCCUGCAUGUAUCAAAUACAUGAAUUGUAUAUUUUUAAUAAUAUUUGAAUUGAAUAAUGAUUUAUUUACAAGUUGUACAAGUUAUACUGGUUGUACUAUUUUCUAAAAAAAACAUCAAUCAUCUUUUUAUUCUUAAGGCCAAAAAAGUAGAUGUGGAUCCAAAAAAGUCUUUAACCAUGGUUCUAAAAAACACAAGUCACUGGAAAAAUAAAAAGAAGGGAACGUCGGCGAUGAGUAAGAGUAACCAUCAUCGAUGGAGAAAAAGAUGGUCUCUAUUGUGAAGAAGAGAGAUGCCGCAUCGGAAAAUAAAAAAGACGCAGUGAAGAAAAAGAGAGAUGCGACAAAGAAGAGUGUAGUCGUGGUGAAAAAUAGGAAGCUUGACGGUGGUGUCCAUGGUGGGUCUUCGUCAAAUCCAAACAAACAGCUCGGAAUUGCAAGAGAGAAACCACAUUUCCACCGGACCCUCAAUGCGUUCUUUUCCCGAAACCAUCAAUGGCUUCACCAUUUCAGCCCACUAGUAAGCCCCAUAAAUCAUGAAGUCAACCCAAAAAUUUAGAUGUAUUUUGGUAUAACUAAUGCAACAAGUUCAACUACACUGUAAUAUAUAAGAAUAGUACAACUACUCGACAUUAGUGUUUCAAUCAAAAUAUUUAAAAUAAGAUACACAUUCAAAACAUGAUGCAUAUUUAAAACAAUACUAAAUUAAAUAACAAGUAGUUAUACCGGUUUUCUAGUUGUAUCGGUUGUGUAUAGUUAAUAGUUGUACUAGUUUUUGAGUUGUACCAUUUUGUGCAUAGUUGUACUUUGGUAAUAAAAACCAAAAUAUUAAUUCUUCCACAUAAUAAAUAUAUUUAUCUCAGUUGUACCACUUAUUUAUGUUUUCAUGCAUUUGCCCGAUUAUAAUGAAAUCAUCAAUUUUAUAAAAAUACAUUUCAUGUAUGUUUUUCAAAAAUUAUGUGGACAAACAAGUUAACAAACCUUAAAAGUAUAAGGUAUAUCAUGUAAAUUUCUGGAACUGUGUAAUAACUUUUAUUUUAUUUUUUCAAAACUUAUAAUAAAUUAAGAAAAACUUUUUGAAUACAUACCCUUUGCCGUCUGCAAGAAACUGAAAAUCAACCCUUUGCAGUAUGUACACGACUGUUACACUUGUGAACGGUAUUACAAAACUUAUGCUGCCACUUUUUCUCCUGUUCCGGAGUUAUCAGCUUGGCCGGAAGCUUCCGGAGUUCUGAGAUUGUUUCCCCCAGUCAUUCCUCCGCCACCACCGCCUCCAUCUUCUGUAGUACCAUGUAAGGCCCAACGCAAAUCAACUCUUAAGACUAAUAAAAGGAAGAGCUGAGAAAUGUAGAUUUUCAUCUGAAUCGAACCGGACAUUUUGGUAUGUUUAUGUAGUAUCUUGCGACUUUCAGAAGUAGGGUUAAUCCCGGUUUGAAUUUUACGAUGUUGAUGCUGUAAUGGAAGAAACAGAACGUGUGUUGGUGUUUUUUUUUGGUAUGUGAUGAUUAAUCCGGUUUGUGUCAGAAAUUUUGUCGAUCCCAUGAACCGAUACAAAAACAAAGCUAAACCGGAUCGGAAACUGAAGCCAACCGUCAUGUUCUUCACCAUCUCAUUCCGAAUCGUUUCUCUCUUGCUAUCUCACUUCCAGGUGGGCGGUAAUAUACAAACAAAUAACAUGUGUAUGUUAAGCUUAUCCCUUUGCUCUUUAAGAAAGUUUUUUUUAAUCUGCAAGGAGGUGAGUGCGAUCCUAAAAUCCACUUUAGAAAUUUGUUAGUGUUUGUAAUAAGAUUAAAGAAGAAGAAUUUUGUGUACAACAAUAUCCUCAAACCAAAACAAAGUUGACGAAAAUGGACUUUAUGAAUAUAGAUCUCGAAUGUUUUACAAGAUAUGGAAAUGGUAAUCUAAACAAGGCUCAGAGGUGUGUUCAAACAUGUCAUGUCAUGUCUCUCCUUAAGGUGAGCCUCAAACUGAGAAUCAAAAUAAAGAUAAAGACUGAAAUGGGUAAGUGAAGAGUUUGAAGUCGAUAGGUUAGUGUGUUCAAAUAUGUCAUGUCUCCUUGCUCUCAUCUCUCAUCUUUUUUUUGGUUUUUGAUAUUUUCUCUUCUUCUCAUCAUUCCGAUCUCGGAAAUCUCGGACGCUCAGUGGUCACCACGAAAAAAGUUGAGUGUUACAAUCUAGUUAAUCGCACAAUUAUGAAAAAUGUUCUUGGGUGGGCCUAAAAAUGGCAAAAGAAAGUCAAAACAAAGUGUGAAUGUUUGGCUUGGCCCAUUGCAUUGUAUUCUUCUACGGUUCUACCUCCCGCCCAUAGAACAAAGAAAAGAGAAACAGACAUAUGUGUCCUCCUCCUUGUUUCAGAUUACAUCUCUUAGAUGCUACUAGAACCAUUUGCCCUACACGCUUCCCACGUGUCAGUCUCUCUUCCCACAGAAAUCCACUUUGUGGUCUUUUUCUGUUUUCUUUUAUAAAAAAUAAACAGAAUCCCUCUUUCUUAUCCUACUCAAUAAAAUAUCUGAACCUUAGAGAAGAAGGAAGAAGAAAAGAUGACGACGCAGAAGAAAGAGAUGGAAGUGGUGAAGGAUCUUGACUUGGAGAGAUACAUGGGCCGUUGGUACGAGAUUGCUUCUUUCCCUUCCAUUUUUCAGCCCAAGAACGGUAUUGACACUCGCGCCACCUACACCCUCAACCCUGACGGCACGGUUGAUGUCUUGAACGAGACGUGGAACAGUGGCAAGAGAGUUUUCAUCCAAGGCUCAGCAUACAAGACUGAUCCUAAGAGCGACGAGGCUAAGUUCAAAGUUAAGUUCUACGUCCCUCCUUUCCUCCCUAUCAUUCCUGUCACUGGAGAUUACUGGGUGUUGUAUAUUGAUCCUGAGUACCAGCACGCCGUCAUCGGCCAGCCUUCAAGGAGUUAUCUCUGGGUAUGUCUUGUUGUGUUUUGUCUCUUUAUGAUGAAUAUGAUAGAAAAAGCUAAGGAUUGAUAUUGAGUAUGUGGGAUAUGUGGUGUAGAUACUGAGCAGGACGGCGCAUGUGGAAGAAGAGACAUACAAGCAGCUGCUGCAGAAGGCGGUGGAGGAAGGGUACGACGUCAGCAAGCUUCACAAGACCCCUCAGAGUGACACACCACCUGAGUCCAACGCUGCUCCUGACGACACCAAUGAUCAAAUGCUAAAAUAGACCACAAGGGUCAAAAAAAUUUUAUAUAGACCUAUUGUUUCUUUAUUUUAAAAAUAAAUAAAAAUUAGGGAGAAAAAACCAUGAGACCUAAUAACUUAAACAUAUUUACUAACCUAUGCCUUUGCAAUUCUACUCAGAUUAUGAUCCAGAUUCUAACCUGGAUCCAUACACAAACCUGAUCCAACUCUAACCCUAGUCUUCUUCUUCCUCCUUUUUUCUUCUCCAUUAAUGUUCUUUCACUUUUAAAAAAAAUCAAAAAAUUCUUUUAACCAUCCUCCAUUUUCUCUUUCUUAACCCAAAUCGAACAAUCUAUACUCAUAUUUAAUUAAUUAUAUCUUAUUUAAAAUCAAAUUUCAUCUUUUAUGAACGAUGUUUAAAAUAAAGAAGAACACGAAGUGUAACUAAUACAACUAGUACAACUACAACUGGUACGGCUAGUACAACUCCAACUCAUACAACUAGUACAAAUAAAAUUGGUACAGCUAGUACAAUUAAAACAAAUAUAACUAGUAUAAAUAUAUUGAGUAUAGCCAAUAUAGCUGAUACAAAAAAAACUUGUAUAACUAAUACAACUUUACAAUAAUUUGGUGAUUUUUAUUUUUUUGUUAUCAACAUAUAAAAAUGAUAGAAAAAAGAUAAUUUAGAACCAAUAAGACAUGUUGGUCCAAUCUUUCCCCGCCUGCAUGUAUCAAACACAUGAAUUGUAUAUUUUUAAUAAUAUUUGAAUUGAAUAAUGAUUUAUUUACAAGUUGUACAAGUUAUACUGGUUGUACUAUUUCCGAAAAAAAACAUCAUCAUCUUAUUAUUCUCAAAGCCAAAAAAGUAGAUGUGGAUCCAAAAAAGUCUUCAACCAUGGUUCCAAAAAAACACAAAUCACUGGAAAAAUAAAAAGAAGGGAACGUCGGCGAUGAGUAAGAGUGACCAUCAUCGAUGGAGAAAAAGAUGGCCUCUAUUGUGAAGAAGAGAGAUGCCGCAUCGAAAAAUAAAAAAAGACGCAGCGAAGAAAAAGAGAGAUGCGACAAAAAAGAAUGUAGUCGUGGCCAAAAAUAGGAAGCUCGACGGUGGUGUCCGUGGUGGGUCUUCAUCAAAUCCAAACAAACGGCUCGGAACUGCAAGAGAGAAACCACAUCUCCACCGGAUCCUCAAUGCGAUCUUUUUCUGGAACCAUCAAUGGCUUCUCCAUUUCAGCCCACUAGUAAGCCCCAUAAAUCAUGAAGUCAACCCAAAAAUUUAGAUGUAUUUUGGUAUAACUAAUGCAACAAGUUCAACUACACUGUAAUAUAUAAGAAUAGUACAACUACUCGACAUUAGUGUUUCAAUCAAAAUAUUUAAAAUAAGAUACACAUUCAAAACGUGAUGCAUAUUUAAAACAAUACUAAAUUAAAUAACAAGUAGUUAUACCAGUUUUCUAGUUGUAUCGGUUGUGCAUAGUUGUACUAGUUUUUGAGUUGUACCAUUUUGUGCAUAGUUGUACUUCGGCAGUAAAAACCAAAAUAUUAGUUGUUCCACAUAAUAAAUAUAUUUACCUCAGUUGUACCACUUAUUUAUGUUUUCAUGUCUUUGUCCGGUUACAAUGAAAUCAUCAAUUUUGUAAAAAUACAUUUCAUGUAUGUUUUCCAAAAAUUAUGUGGACAAACAAGUUAACAAACCUUAAAAGUAUAAGGUACAUCAUGUAAAUUUCUGAAACAGUGUAAUAAUUUUUAUUUUAUUUUUCCAAAACUUAAAAUAAAUUAAGAAAAACUUUUUGAAUACAUACCCUUUGCCGUCUGCAAAAAACUGAAAAUCAACCCAUUGCAGUAUGUAGACGACUGUUACACUUGUGAACGGUAUUACAAAACUUAUGCUGCCACUUUUCUCCUGUUCCGGAGUUAUCAGCUUGGCCGGAAGCUUCCGGAGUUCCGAGAUUGUUUCCCCCAGUCAUUCCUCGCCACCACCGCCUCCACCUUCUGUAGUACCAUGUAAGGCCCAACGCAAAUCAACUCCUAAGACUAAUAAAAGGAAGAGCUCAGAAAUGUAGAUUUUCAUCUGAGUCGAACCGGACAUUUUGGUAUGUUUAUGUAGUAUCUUGCGACUUUCGGAAGUAGGGUUAAUCCCGGUUUGAAUUUUACGAUGUUGAUGCUGUAAUGUAAGAAACAGAACGUGUGUUGGUGUUUUUUUUUGGUAUGUGAUGAUUAAUCCGGUUUGUGUCAGAAAUUUUGUCGAUCCCAUGAACCGAUACAAAAACAAAGCUAAACCGGAUCGGAAACUGAAGCCAACCGUCAUGUUCUUCACCAUCUCAUUCCGAAUCGUUUCUCUCUUGCUAUCUCACUUCCAGGUGGGCGGUAAUAUACAAACAAAUAACAUGUGUAUGUUAAGCUUAUCCCUUUGCUCUUUAAGAAAGUUUUUUUUAAUCUGCAAGGAGGUGAGUGCGAUCCUAAAAUCCACUUUAGAAAUUUGUUAGUGUUUGUAAUAAGAUUAAAGAAGAAGAAUUUUGUGUACAACAAUAUCCUCAAACCAAAACAAAGUUGACGAAAAUGGACUUUAUGAAUAUAGAUCUCGAAUGUUUUACAAGAUAUGGAAAUGGUAAUCUAAACAAGGCUCAGAGGUGUGUUCAAACAUGUCAUGUCAUGUCUCUCCUUAAGGUGAGCCUCAAACUGAGAAUCAAAAUAAAGAUAAAGACUGAAAUGGGUAAGUGAAGAGUUUGAAGUCGAUAGGUUAGUGUGUUCAAAUAUGUCAUGUCUCCUUGCUCUCAUCUCUCAUCUUUUUUUUGGUUUUUGAUAUUUUCUCUUCUUCUCAUCAUUCCGAUCUCGGAAAUCUCGGACGCUCAGUGGUCACCACGAAAAAAGUUGAGUGUUACAAUCUAGUUAAUCGCACAAUUAUGAAAAAUGUUCUUGGGUGGGCCUAAAAAUGGCAAAAGAAAGUCAAAACAAAGUGUGAAUGUUUGGCUUGGCCCAUUGCAUUGUAUUCUUCUACGGUUCUACCUCCCGCCCAUAGAACAAAGAAAAGAGAAACAGACAUAUGUGUCCUCCUCCUUGUUUCAGAUUACAUCUCUUAGAUGCUACUAGAACCAUUUGCCCUACACGCUUCCCACGUGUCAGUCUCUCUUCCCACAGAAAUCCACUUUGUGGUCUUUUUCUGUUUUCUUUUAUAAAAAAUAAACAGAAUCCCUCUUUCUUAUCCUACUCAAUAAAAUAUCUGAACCUUAGAGAAGAAGGAAGAAGAAAAGAUGACGACGCAGAAGAAAGAGAUGGAAGUGGUGAAGGAUCUUGACUUGGAGAGAUACAUGGGCCGUUGGUACGAGAUUGCUUCUUUCCCUUCCAUUUUUCAGCCCAAGAACGGUAUUGACACUCGCGCCACCUACACCCUCAACCCUGACGGCACGGUUGAUGUCUUGAACGAGACGUGGAACAGUGGCAAGAGAGUUUUCAUCCAAGGCUCAGCAUACAAGACUGAUCCUAAGAGCGACGAGGCUAAGUUCAAAGUUAAGUUCUACGUCCCUCCUUUCCUCCCUAUCAUUCCUGUCACUGGAGAUUACUGGGUGUUGUAUAUUGAUCCUGAGUACCAGCACGCCGUCAUCGGCCAGCCUUCAAGGAGUUAUCUCUGGGUAUGUCUUGUUGUGUUUUGUCUCUUUAUGAUGAAUAUGAUAGAAAAAGCUAAGGAUUGAUAUUGAGUAUGUGGGAUAUGUGGUGUAGAUACUGAGCAGGACGGCACAUGUGGAGGAAGAGACAUACAAGCAGCUGCUGGAGAAGGCGGUGGAGGAAGGGUACGACGUCAGCAAGCUUCACAAGACUCCUCAGAGUGACACACCACCUGAGUCCAACGCUGCUCCUGACGACACCAAGGGUGUUUGGUGGUUCAAAUCUAUGUUCGGCAAAUAGUUACAGAAACACAAGACCUUCGUUUCACCUCCUGUUACUUCCAUUGCUUGUGUAAUAAUAUUACUACCCCUUAUGUUUACUCUAGUAAUCAUCGUAAAGCUUUCGUGUAUAUUGAACAUCUAAAGUAAU
Molecule: long non-coding RNA, 8081 nt
Filed under: Brassica napus (rape)
Lineage: Eukaryota; Viridiplantae; Streptophyta; Magnoliopsida; Brassicales; Brassicaceae
Description: long non-coding RNA (BNAP_LNC001193)
Source: RNAcentral